AUUGAACGCUGGCGGCAGGCCUAACACAUGCAAGUCGAACGGCAGCACGGGAGCAAUCCUGGUGGCGAGUGGCGAACGGGUGAGUAAUAUAUCGGAACGUGCCCAGUCGUGGGGGAUAACGUAGCGAAAGCUACGCUAAUACCGCAUACGAUCUAUGGAUGAAAGCGGGGGAUCGCAAGACCUCGCGCGAUUGGAGCGGCCGAUAUCAGAUUAGGUAGUUGGUGAGGUAAAGGCUCACCAAGCCGACGAUCUGUAGCUGGUCUGAGAGGACGACCAGCCACACUGGGACUGAGACACGGCCCAGACUCCUACGGGAGGCAGCAGUGGGGAAUUUUGGACAAUGGGCGCAAGCCUGAUCCAGCAAUGCCGCGUGCAGGAUGAAGGCC
This 386-nucleotide ribosomal RNA is filed under the name uncultured bacterium. RNAcentral describes it as "bacterial SSU rRNA". It matches the Rfam family "Bacterial small subunit ribosomal RNA", at positions 29 to 416 of the family's 1533-position model. The record is from RNAcentral.